Molecule: ribosomal RNA, 467 nt
Filed under: uncultured bacterium
Lineage: Bacteria
Description: bacterial SSU rRNA
Rfam family: Bacterial small subunit ribosomal RNA
Source: RNAcentral
AUUGAACGCUGGCGGCAUGCUUUACACAUGCAAGUCGAGCGGCAGCGCGGGGGCAACCCUGGCGGCGAGCGGCGAACGGGUGAGUAACGCAUCGGAACGUAUCCUGUAGUGGGGAAUAACUCAUCGAAAGGUGAGCUAAUACCGCAUAAGCUCUGAGGAGGAAAGCGGGGGACCGAAAGGCCUCGCGCUGCAGGAGCGGCCGAUGUCCGAUUAGCUAGUUGGUGAGGUAAAGGCUCACCAAGGCGACGAUCGGUAGCUGGUCUGAGAGGAUGAUCAGCCACACUGGGACUGAGACACGGCCCAGACUCCUACGGGAGGCAGCAGUGGGGGAAUUUUGGACAAUGGGGGAAACCCUGAUCCAGCCAUGCCGCGUGAGUGAAGAAGGCCUCGGUUGUAAGCUCUUUCGGUACGGAACGAAAUUAGCUUGGAUUAAUACUCUGAGUAGAUGACGGUACCGUAAGAAUAAG